GUGGGGGAUAUUGCACAAUGGGCGAAAGCCUGAUGCAGCGACGCCGCGUGGGUGAAGAAGUACCUCGGUACGUAAAGCCCUAUCAGCAGGGAAGAAAAUGACGGUACCUGACUAAGAAGCUCCGGCUAAAUACGUGCCAGCAGCCGCGGUAAUACGUAUGGAGCAAGCGUUAUCCGGAUUUACUGGGUGUAAAGGGAGCGUAGGCGGCAUACCAAGCCUGAUGUGAAAACCCGGGGCCCAACCCCGGGAGUGCAUUGGGAACUGGCAAGCUAGAGUGUCGGAGAGGCAGGCGGAAUUCCUAGUGUAGCGGUGAAAUGCGUAGAUAUUAGGAGGAACACCAGUGGCGAAGGCGGCCUGCUGGACGAUGACUGACGCUGAGGCUCGAAAGCGUGGGGAGCAAACAGG
RNAcentral lists this ribosomal RNA (405 nucleotides) under uncultured bacterium. RNAcentral's name for it is "bacterial SSU rRNA". It matches the Rfam family "Bacterial small subunit ribosomal RNA", at positions 354 to 776 of the family's 1533-position model. The record is from RNAcentral.